Molecule: transfer RNA, 53 nt
Filed under: Setaria labiatopapillosa
Lineage: Eukaryota; Metazoa; Nematoda; Chromadorea; Rhabditida; Setariidae
Description: tRNA-Ser
Source: RNAcentral
AAUAAAUUAUAAUUUAGCCUUCCAAACUAAUUUUGAAAUUUUCCCACCUAUUU